GACGAACGCUGGCGGCGUGCUUAACACAUGCAAGUCGAACGGAAAGGCCCUGCUUUUGUGGGGUGCUCGAGUGGCGAACGGGUGAGUAACACGUGAGUAACCUGCCCUUGACUUUGGGAUAACUUCAGGAAACUGGGGCUAAUACCGGAUAGGAGCUCCUGCUGCAUGGGGGGGGUGGGAAGGUUUCGGCGGUUGGGGAUGGACUCGCGGCUUAUCAGCUUGUUGGUGGGGUAGUGGAUUACCAAGGCUUUGACGGGUAGCCGGCCUGAGAGGGUGACCGGCCACAUUGGGACUGAGAUACGGCCCAGACUCCUACGGGAGGCAGCAGUGGGGAAUAUUGCACAAUGGGCGGAAGCCUGAUGCAGCAACGCCGCGUGCGGGAUGACGGCCUUCGGGUUGUAAACCGCUUUCGCCUGUGACGAAGCGUGAGUGACGGUAAUGGGUAAAGAAGCACCGGCUAACUACGUG
This 468-nucleotide ribosomal RNA is filed under the name uncultured bacterium. Its description in RNAcentral is "partial 16S ribosomal RNA". It matches the Rfam family "Bacterial small subunit ribosomal RNA", at positions 28 to 507 of the family's 1533-position model. The record is from RNAcentral.